RNAcentral lists this ribosomal RNA (253 nucleotides) under uncultured bacterium. RNAcentral describes it as "partial 16S ribosomal RNA". It matches the Rfam family "Bacterial small subunit ribosomal RNA", at positions 524 to 776 of the family's 1533-position model. The record is from RNAcentral.
UACGAAGGUGGCAAGCGUUGUUCGGAUUUACUGGGUGUACAGGGAGCGUAGGCGGUUGGAUAAGCCCUCCGUGAAAUCUCCAGGCUUAACCUGGAAAGUGCAGAGGGGACUGUUCAGCUAGAGGAUGGGAGAGGAGCGCGGAAUUCCCGGUGUAGCGGUGAAAUGCGUAGAGAUCGGGAGGAAGGCCGGUGGCGAAGGCGGCGCUCUGGAACAUUUCUGACGCUGAGGCUCGAAAGCGUGGGGAGCAAACAGG